GAAAGACUUGGAGAGGACUUUAAGAUUUUCUUUUUCAGCAGCGGUGAAGCGGCGAAGCGUCCUGCCGUCAGCACCGCAGGAGUCUGCGCUCGAGGUGGUCUGUUUGUGGGUCUGCCGGAGCAGAUUCCCCGGAGCUCCGUGCUGACGGAGGCCAACCUGCAGUACUACGUCAGCCAGUACAGAGCGAGGCUU
Long non-coding RNA from Micropterus salmoides (largemouth bass), 192 nucleotides. RefSeq lists it as uncharacterized. The record is from RefSeq and is a predicted model, not a curated record. The transcript has 3 exons. NCBI's taxonomy places the organism in Eukaryota, Metazoa, Chordata, Actinopteri, Centrarchiformes, Centrarchidae.